This is a long non-coding RNA of Neodiprion fabricii, 555 nucleotides long. RefSeq lists it as uncharacterized. The transcript has 3 exons. NCBI's taxonomy places the organism in Eukaryota, Metazoa, Arthropoda, Insecta, Hymenoptera, Diprionidae. The record is from RefSeq and is a predicted model, not a curated record.
UAAAUUGGUGGAGAUCCUUAUUUUGGCAUACUUGCGAAGUGACGGUCCCGACCUGUACCUCCAAGGCUCGAUCCACCAUCUUGAAAAAAGAUAACAGCACAGUCUACGCAGCGACCGCGUGUGAGCGUAAACGGAUAUGAGAGAGAUAGAGAGCUCGGGCGAGAGCUGGAGGCUAGUUCCAUUUCAAACCACCAAGCAAGAUUGUGUAGAAUCGACUCCAGUGUGACCACCGUGAUUGAAUUUGGAGGUGUAACCACGAAAGGCUGACACUGCCUUUGUACCACUUCAGUCAUCUUAUCUGAUACAUGAUAGCAUACUCCAAUAUCUACUGCCGAAAUACUUGUGGUGAACAGUCUUCAUCCAGCAGCCAAUCCAAUUUGGUACUCUGAAGUCGACCCACAUUUUCUGUACAGAAUUUAGAAUACUGCCAAGACUUUAAGGUAUCCAAAACGAACCUGUGGAAUGGUAACGGUGCUAUAGAUUCGUUUUAAAAAAGAAGCUCAGACUUCAGAACAAUUUCUAUAUCACCUCUCACAGCACUGUUACGAAAUUGAA